RNAcentral lists this ribosomal RNA (612 nucleotides) under uncultured bacterium. RNAcentral's name for it is "bacterial SSU rRNA". The stretch from base 1 to 521 matches the Rfam family "Bacterial small subunit ribosomal RNA", at positions 338 to 873 of the family's 1533-position model. The record is from RNAcentral.
CCUACGGGAGGCAGCAGUAAGGAAUCUUCCACAAUGGACGAAAGUCUGAUGGAGCAACGCCGCGUGCAGGAUGAAGGCUUUCGGGUCGUAAACUGCUUUUAUAUGGGAAGAUUAUGACGGUACCAUAUGAAUAAGGACCGGCUAACUACGUGCCAGCAGCCGCGGUAAUACGUAGGGUCCAAGCGAUAUCCGGAAUUACUGGGCGUAAAGCGUGUGUAGGUGGAUUAAUAAGUGUGAUGCGAAAUCCGGCGGCUCAACCGUUUGGACUGUGUCGCAUACUGUUAGUCUAGAGGACGGCAGAGGUAAGUGGAAUUACGGGUGUAGCAGUGAAAUGCGUAGAUAUCCGUAGGAACACCAAUGGCGAAGGCAGCUUACUGGGCCACACCUGACACUGAGACACGAAAGCGUGGGGAGCGAACAGGAUUAGAUACCCUGGUAGUCCACGCCGUAAACCGAUGCAUACUAUUAGUAUGGGGUAUCGACCCCCUGUGCUGAGAAGCUAACGCGAUAAGUAUGCCGCCGUGGGAGGUACGAGCGCGACGACGUUAAACCUAACAAAUAGAAGUUAGUACGGCGUGAGACGUGCCGACGGACGACGACGACGGGAGGAGG